RNAcentral lists this long non-coding RNA (2450 nucleotides) under Equus caballus (horse). Its description in RNAcentral is "lncRNA (ENSECAG00000041039.2)". Lineage: Eukaryota; Metazoa; Chordata; Mammalia; Perissodactyla; Equidae. The record is from RNAcentral.
CACAUCCGUUUCCCACAUGUAGGCCUUUCAGAUGUUUGGGGGCAGCACACAGACCCUCUGUCCAUGUCCUCUCUCUUGGCUAAGUGUCCACAGUCCCCCAGACAUCCCUCCUGGGGUCUGCUUUCAAGUGCGUUCAUCAUCCUGGCUGCUGACCUCUCAUCUGUGGCCCUCUUCAGGUGUGGCCCUCCUCGGGUGUGGCCCUCAGAGCUGAUCUCGCUCCCUGGACUUCUCUGGACAUGCCUGUUGCUUCUGUGGCCCCAUUAUCCUCCAGGCCAGUUAAGAGCUGUGGCUGCUGUUGGCAUAGCUGGUGGUGGCUGCUGUCUAAUUUCUCACUCAGCCCUACCUCUUUUGCUGCGUGGAACCAAACUGCGAUGGAGAAGCUCCUGGUCUAGCCCACUGUGGCAAACAAUGUUUGUCUUGAGAAUGGAAGCAAGCUGGGCAGCAGAAUGGAAAUCCAGUGUUAUUGGCAGGUCGGCUCAGGAUCAUUGCUCCAAUUCCUGGGGCAGCUGGGAGACAGAAGUGCUGAUGAGGAAAAUCUUAGUUGGCCCUGUGUCAGGUGAAGAGCAUGAGGCCAUGUACAAAAUCUGAAGACGAUUACUGCAGAACCCCAGCAUGCUUCAGGGAGUACUGUGGUCUCCAAGCCUGUCAGAGUCCCUUGAGAGGCAAUGCUGGGCCCCUCCCAGACGUCCCCCAAAGCUGGAGCAUGUUGGUUUCUGUUCUUCCACCUGGCACUGAGCUGUGGCUCACAGACAUUUUGCAUCAUUAGUUCCAUAUGCUGUUAUUUGGACAAAUUUAAGCUGAAGCAUAUUCCUGAAUGCCUGUAAGUGCUCAUGUUUAUCACUACAGCUCUUAUUCUGGCAGCAAAAGCUGCGUCAAAUGGUGGCCCUCUAAUAUCACAGGACCGAGAAGCCGAGCAGAAUGGCAACAUGCAGGCAGCAUCCCAGGGUGUGCCCAGGGUGCAGAACCCACCUCCAGCAGAGUGAGGGAAAGUCUUUUUUUGGUACCUUGCAUGGCCCAGGCACUGUGCUAGACUCAGGGGACAUAACCAGGGACAAGACAGACCCAGUCAGGCCCUCCAGAGAGCAGCGGUCCUCAGAUGUUGGCAAGCACCAUUUAAACACGAAGAUAUGUGGGCCCCAUCCCUCAGAGUUGGAGUCACUGGGUGUGGGGCAGCGCCUGGGAAUCUGCAUGUUCAACAUCCUUCUGCGUGACUGUGAAGCAGAGGGUCAGGUGACCGUGGUUUGAGAAAUACCGGCCUGGGGCCUCACUACUCAGAGCAUGGUCUGUGGACCUCUCCUCCCCCCGUCAGCAUCCCCUCAGAACUGGUUAGACAUGCAGAAUUUCAGGCUCCACCCCACCCCUACUGAAUCAUAAUGGGCAUUUUAAGCUGAUUCCCAGGAGGAUGUGUGUGCAGGUUAAAGUUUGGGAAGCAUUGCCAGUGCAAGGUCCAAGGGAGCUUUUUACCCUGCUUCUGUGUUGUUUUGAUAAGAGAACGAAUAUAUUCAUGUAUUACUUGGUAAUUAAAAAUAAAUUAAUGAAAAACUUGGCAUAAACCAGGAAAAUCUUGUACAGGAACGUUCAGAGCAGCUCUCUCCAUAAUGGCCCCAAACUGGGAACAGCCUAAAUGUCCAUCGCAGGUGAAUGGAUAAACAAAAGGCGGCAUAUUCAAAAAAUGGAAUACUGCUCAGCAAUAAAAAGGAACAACAUACAACAAUAUGGAUGCCAGUGCAUUGUACUAAGUGGAAGGAGCCUGACCCGAAAAGCUACAAGCAAGGUUGGGAUUCUGGUUGCUUCAACUCUAUGAGGUCCUCAGUCUCCACCUCUGAAAAAUGGGGAUGAUCCUGGCUCCCAGGGCUGUGGUGGAGAUCAGGGUGCCAAGUCAUCUCACGCCUCUGAGCCUUGUUCCUCAGCUGUAAAAUGGACGUAAUAAUAGGAUGAUCCCCACAGAGCGGAGCUGAGAGGUAAAUGAGAUGAUCUGACCGAUACACUGAGAUAUGGAGAAGAAGGAAACCUGGAACUGAGGCCACGUCAGACAAGCAUUGUUCCCUGGAGGCAUUGCAGGGGCCCUGCCUCUGAAGCCAAUGAUGGCGCGUUGCUGAGUCUCUGUUCUGACACGGAUGUGUGCUCUGAGAGUCAGGGCGAGUCCCUGGGCUGAACCGCUUAUGGGCCACUCAAGGAAGAGGGAGAUGGGCAGACUCCUGCUCAUCCUUCAGUCCUUGGCUCACGCAUCACUCCAAGAGGAAGCCUUCUGCACUCUUCUCCAGCAGAGUUGGUGACCCGGCACUGCGUCAUUUUGUCAGGCCUUGCCCUGUGCUCUGUCCCUGCCCUGGCCACGUGUGGGUCAAAUGCAUCGUUCCGUAUCUGUCUCCCCACCAGCCUCGGAACAACUGUCUCCCCCAUCUCUGCAGCCCUAGAAAGCUGCACAAAGUCUGAAUACAGAAAUGUCUGGA